This 74-nucleotide transfer RNA is filed under the name Sphaerobolus stellatus SS14. RNAcentral describes it as "tRNA-Lys (TTT) (tRNA-Lys-TTT-15-1)". It matches the Rfam family "tRNA". From Rfam's summary of the family: Transfer RNA (tRNA) molecules are approximately 80 nucleotides in length. Their secondary structure includes four short double-helical elements and three loops (D, anti-codon, and T loops). Lineage: Eukaryota; Fungi; Basidiomycota; Agaricomycetes; Geastrales; Sphaerobolaceae. The record is from RNAcentral.
UGCUCCAUGGCUUAGUUGGCUAUAGUGUCCAGCUUUUAAUCGGAAGGUCGAGAGUUCGAGCUUCUCUGGGGCAG